This 500-nucleotide ribosomal RNA is filed under the name uncultured bacterium. RNAcentral describes it as "bacterial SSU rRNA". It matches the Rfam family "Bacterial small subunit ribosomal RNA", at positions 56 to 535 of the family's 1533-position model. The record is from RNAcentral.
UGCAAGUCGAACGCGAAAGCGGCUUCGGCCGUAAGUAGAGUGGCAAACGGGUGAGUAACGCGUGGGUGACCUGCCUUCGAGUGGGGGAUAACGUUUCGAAAGGAACGCUAAUACCGCAUGACAUCCCGUCCUUAGACGGAUGGUGAUCAAAGCUGGGGAUCGCAAGACCUGGCGCUUGAAGAGGGGCCCGCGUCCGAUUAGCUAGUUGGUAGGGUAAUGGCCUACCAAGGCGACGAUCGGUAGCCGGCCUGAGAGGGCGGACGGCCACACUGGGACUGAGACACGGCCCAGACUCCUACGGGAGGCAGCAGUGAGGAAUUGUUCGCAAUGGGCGCAAGCCUGACGACGCAACGCCGCGUGGAGGACGAAGAUCUUCGGGUCGUAAACUCCUGUCGAGCGGGACGAACCUCACCCGGGUCAAUACCCCGGGUGCCUGACGGUACCGCUAAAGGAAGCCCCGGCUAACUCCGUGCCAGCAGCCGCGGUAAUACGGGGGGGGC